GGGCGAAAGCCUGAUCCAGCCAUUCCGCGUGAGUGAAGAAGGCCUUCGGGUUGUAAAGCUCUUUCGCAAGGGAAGAACACUUACUUUCUAAUAAAGAGUGAGGUUGACGGUACCUUGAUAAGAAGCACCGGCUAACUACGUGCCAGCAGCCGCGGUAAUACGUAGGGUGCGAGCGUUAAUNGGAAUUANUGGGCGUAAAGCGUGNGCAGGNGGUUUUGUAAGUCAGAUGUGAAAUCCCCGAGCUCAACUUGGGAACUGCGUUUGAAACUACAAGACUAGAAUAUGUCAGAGGGGGGUAGAAUUCCACGUGUAGCAGUGAAAUGCGUAGAGAUGUGGAGGAAUACCAAUGGNGAAGGCAGCCCCCUGGGAUAAUAUUGACGCUCAUGCACGAAAGCGUGGGGAGCAAACAGGAUUAGAUACCCUGGUAGUCCNCGCCCUAAACGAUGUNUACUAGUUGUUGGUGGAGUAAAAUCCAUGAGUAACG
RNAcentral lists this ribosomal RNA (484 nucleotides) under uncultured bacterium. RNAcentral's name for it is "bacterial SSU rRNA". It matches the Rfam family "Bacterial small subunit ribosomal RNA", at positions 373 to 848 of the family's 1533-position model. The record is from RNAcentral.